GUUUCCAGCUGCGAGGUGACGGGAUGUAAUGCAGAGGAGGUCUGGUCGAGCUUCAGUGUCGACGUGUGUCUGAUGCUGGAGUGGAGCCCUGGAUCGACAACUCUUGAAGAAGAAGCUGCAGAGUUUUGUUUUUUGAAUAAUCCUGUCUCUUCCUUCCUCUCAUGAGCUUCAGCGUCGACGUAUUUGACCAACAGUACGGAAAGUUGUCGUAUGCAAGGCCCAUGAAA
Molecule: unclassified non-coding RNA, 227 nt
Filed under: Hevea brasiliensis (rubber tree)
Lineage: Eukaryota; Viridiplantae; Streptophyta; Magnoliopsida; Malpighiales; Euphorbiaceae
Source: RNAcentral